GUUAUUAGUUAUUAAUAAAAUAGUAAACCAGGUAUAUAAAAUAAACAGAAAACCCCGUUACUGCGGAUGCAGUAACGGGGUUU
Molecule: small RNA, 83 nt
Filed under: Xenorhabdus beddingii
Lineage: Bacteria; Pseudomonadati; Pseudomonadota; Gammaproteobacteria; Enterobacterales; Morganellaceae
Description: RsaJ
Source: RNAcentral